RNAcentral lists this ribosomal RNA (1104 nucleotides) under uncultured Pseudoalteromonas sp. RNAcentral describes it as "bacterial SSU rRNA". It matches the Rfam family "Bacterial small subunit ribosomal RNA", at positions 45 to 1200 of the family's 1533-position model. Lineage: Bacteria; Pseudomonadati; Pseudomonadota; Gammaproteobacteria; Alteromonadales; Pseudoalteromonadaceae. The record is from RNAcentral.
GGAGCCUCAUGCAGUCGAGCGGUAGAAGAUUGUUUCUUGGGUGACGAGCGGCGGACGGGUGAGUAAUGCUUGGGAACAUGCCUUUAGGGGGGGACAACAGUUGGAAACGACUGCUAAUACCGCAUGAUGUCUACGGACCAAAGGGGGGACCUUCGGGCCUCACGCCUAAGAUUGGCCCAAGUGGGAUUAGCUAGUUGGUGAGGUAAUGGCUCACCAAGGCAACAUCUCUACUGGUUUGAGAGGAUGAUCAGCCACACUGGAACUGAGACACGGUCCAACUCCUACGGGAGGCAGCAGUGGGGAAUAUUGCACAAUGGGCGAAAGCCUGAUGCAGCCAUGCCGCGUGGUGAAGAAGGCCUUCGGGUUGUAAAGCACUUUCAGUCAGGAGGAAAGGUUACGUUUUAAUAGAACGUAGCUGUGACGUUACUGACAGAAGAAGCACCGGUAACUCCGUGCCAGCAGCCGCGGUAAUACGGAGGGUGCGAGCGUUAAUCGGAAUUACUGGGCGUAAAGCGUACGCAGGCGGUUGAUUAAGCGAGAUGUGAAAGCCCCGGGCUCAACCUGGGAACUGCAUUUCGAACUGGUCAACUAGAGUGUGAUAGAGGGUGGUAGAAUUUCAGGUGUAGCGGUGAAAUGCGUAGAGAUCUGAAGGAAUACCGAUGGCGAAGGCAGCCACCUGGGUCAACACUGACGCUCAUGUACGAAAGCGUGGGGAGCAAACAGGAUUAGAUACCCUGGUAGUCCACGCCGUAAACGAUGUCUACUAGAAGCUGGGGUCCUCGGACAACUUUUUCAAAGCUAACGCAUUAAGUAGACCGCCUGGGGAGUACGGCCGCAAGGUUAAAACUCAAAUGAAUUGACGGGGGCCCGCACAAGCGGUGGAGCAUGUGGUUUAAUUCGAUGCAACGCGAAGAACCUUACCUACACUUGACAUCCAGAGAAUCGCUAGAGAUAGCUUUGUGCCUUCGGGAACUCUGAUACUGCUGCAUGCUGUCGUCAGCUCGUGGUGAGAUGUGGUAAGUCCCGCAAGCGACCCCUAUCCUUGCUAGCAGUAUGCUGACUCUAAGGAGACUCGGUAAGAUGUGGACGACGCCAAUCAUCGGG